RNAcentral lists this ribosomal RNA (253 nucleotides) under uncultured bacterium. RNAcentral's name for it is "partial 16S ribosomal RNA". It matches the Rfam family "Bacterial small subunit ribosomal RNA", at positions 524 to 776 of the family's 1533-position model. The record is from RNAcentral.
UACGGAGAGUGCAAGCGUUGUUCGGAAUCACUGGGCGUAAAGGGCGUGUAGGCGGCCUGUUAAGUCUGAUGUGAAAUCUCCAAGCUCAACUUGGAAAUGGCAUCGGAUACUAUUCGGCUCGAGGAAUGGAGGGGAGACUGGAAUACUUGGUGUAGCAGUGAAAUGCGUAGAUAUCAAGUGGAACACCAGUGGCGAAGGCGAGUCUCUGGACAUUUCCUGACGCUGAGGCACGAAAGCCAGGGGAGCAAACGGG